Molecule: ribosomal RNA, 433 nt
Filed under: uncultured bacterium
Lineage: Bacteria
Description: partial 16S ribosomal RNA
Rfam family: Bacterial small subunit ribosomal RNA
Source: RNAcentral
AGCGAACGCUGGCGGCAGGCCUAACACAUGCAAGUCGAGCGGCCACAUCGGAGUCAGCGGCAGAUGCGUGUGGCACACGUCGGAACGUACCCUUUGGUACGGAAUACCGCUGGGACAUGAGCGAUAAUACAGGAUACGCUCUUCUGGGGAAAGGUAGGCUGUCGUAGGAUAGGCACGCGUGGGAUAAGCUGGUUGGUAGGGUAAUAGCCUAUGACGGCGUCGAUCAGUAGCUGGGCAGAGAGGAAGCGCAGCGACGCUGCGGGUGGGACACGGCCCGGAAUCUUACGGGAGGGGGCAGUGGGUGAUAUAGGACAAUGGGGGCAGGCCUGAUGCAGCCAUGCCGGGUGAGUGAUGAAGGCGGUAGAGAUGUAAAGCUCUUUUAUCCGGGACGAUAAUGACGGUACCGGAAGAAUAAGCCCCGGCUAACUUCGUG